Molecule: non-coding RNA, 102 nt
Filed under: Lutibacter agarilyticus
Lineage: Bacteria; Pseudomonadati; Bacteroidota; Flavobacteriia; Flavobacteriales; Flavobacteriaceae
Description: SAM-I sequence
Rfam family: SAM riboswitch aptamer (S box leader)
About the family: The SAM riboswitch is found upstream of a number of genes which code for proteins involved in methionine or cysteine biosynthesis in Gram-positive bacteria. The SAM riboswitch acts at the level of transcription termination control. The predicted structure consists of a complex stem-loop region followed by a single stem loop terminator region.
Source: Rfam by way of RNAcentral
UAGUUAUUAAGAAAGGCUGAGGGAAUAGACCUGUUGAAGCCUUAGCAACCCUUUAAACUAAAGAAGGUGCUACGUUCUACCAUUAAAAUGGACAGAUAACAC